GCGCCUUCUGCGCACAAAGUUGCGCAUCAUUGCCGUCACUAGGGAAGCUGUCGUAAAUAACAAGCAAACUUCAAAUGACACAAUAAAAUGAUUGAAUGACAAAAUUUGAAGAUAUAUACCUAUUUUCAAUCAUUGUUUUCAAUAUUUUGUUUUUUAAAAUCGAUUAGUAUAGUUUCCGGUCGCCUUUAUUUACUUCCGGCAAACAGAAGAUGGCGAGAUGAAGACUAUGAUUCAUACGAAGUAAGCUGCUUUUUGUCGAUACCUAGACUAGUAUCAGUGAAUUUUGAGUCACGAUAUUAAUUUAGGUAUACCUAUAAUCAGCUCUACUACAUAUCGGCGUGUUUUUUCAUCAGUAAAGAAGAUAAUCUGGUAAGUAAUCAUGCAAUGAUAUUACAAAAACAAAAAAGUGUUUGUCAUAAAAAUAAUAACAACAAUCGUAAAAUUACACCAUCGUCUGCUACAAACAACCAUGAGAACUCGACGAAAUAAACGGGGUAAAUUUUCCAAAACCCCAAAUGUAACCAAAUCAAAACGUGUUCAAGAAUUGGUGUUUACAAAAAACUGGAACAAGAAGAAGGAAAUUACA
This 586-nucleotide long non-coding RNA is filed under the name Mytilus galloprovincialis (Mediterranean mussel). Lineage: Eukaryota; Metazoa; Mollusca; Bivalvia; Mytilida; Mytilidae. The record is from RNAcentral.